RNAcentral lists this unclassified non-coding RNA (378 nucleotides) under plant metagenome. Its description in RNAcentral is "partial contains 5.8S ribosomal RNA, internal transcribed spacer 2, and large subunit ribosomal RNA". The stretch from base 1 to 105 matches the Rfam family "5.8S ribosomal RNA", at positions 50 to 154 of the family's 154-position model. The record is from RNAcentral.
GAAAUGCGAUAAGUAAUGUGAAUUGCAGAAUUCAGUGAAUCAUCUAAUCUUUGAACGCACCUUGCGCUCCUUGGUAUUCCUUGGAGCAUGCCUGUUUGAGUAUCAUGAAAUCUUCAAAGUAAAUCUUUUGUUAACUCAAUUGGUUUCUACUUUGGUAUUGGAGGUCUUUGCAGCUUCACACCUGCUCCUCUUUGUUCAUUAGCUGGAUCUCAGUGUUAUGCUUGGUUCCACUCGGCGUGAUAAGUUAUCUAUCGCUGAGGACACUGUAAAAGGUGGCCAAGGUAAAUGCAGAUGAACCGCUUCUAAUAGUCCAUUGACUUGGACAAUACUUUUAUGAUCUGAUCUCAAAUCAGGUAGGACUACCCGCUGAACUUAAGC